UUGUCAUUUUCAGAGUGGCUUGCAGCUGAACUCAGAGUGCAAAGGAGUGAGGAUGCCCUGUCUGACCCAGAUAAGUGAAGCACAUGCCUUAAUAAGCAACACACAGAUUCAUUUUGGUAUAUGUUGAUGUGUUGAAUAUGUAACAGAGCCUGUGUGCAGACGGGGUCAGUAUUGGACUGAUCUCUAAUCCAGAUCAUUCUAAUUAUCCAAUAGACAUUUUUGAAGUCAGUUCAGUAUCAGUAUUGUUUUGAAAUCAGAGUGAAGAGGACUCUGGACUGUGAGACCAUCAUGGAAUAUAUCAACUAGUAUCAGGUGUGUCCAUAUGGGGGUUAAGAGAGGGAGGGAGGGACUAUAACAGAGCAGGAUGAUUCAGUUAGCUACAGUCUGAAUACAUGUGUGAAUCCAUAGUUCAAUUCUCAUCUUGACCAAACCUGUCGAAAUCAAGACCCUUAUUUAUUUUUACAGAAAUACUAUGAUGUGUUUCCAGAUUUGAUUAUUAUUGUUAUUCUGCGUUUCUUUGUGUAUCAGAAGAAGGGCAGCUUCCAAGCUGGCCUGCUGCACUACCAUCUCACAGCACACUUCUUAACAGUAAAUUGGUUCCAUUCUUAGAUUAUUAACUGUACUGCUAUAGACAUGGGUAGGCCGUCUUAACAACAUAUUGUGAUAUUUAUCAUAAAAAAUUGGAAUAUCUUCCCUCUUUUUAUUUUUCAUAGGCUGUGCUCAUGGCAGGGGCUGUCCCCUGAGCUGUAACUGUCCAUCAGGAGAAGUGAACAAAACCAAAUCCCUGAUCAGUCUUCACUGUCCACUGCUCCUCGUCUCUGCUAGUGUACAGUACAUUAUACUACCAGGAACACAUCUGAUUGUUAGUCUGAGUUCAAAGAAGGGGUGUCAUGCCCUGUUCCCUCUGCCCCGCCCCUCCUCCUGGCAGCCUGUCUGCACUGUGUAUGGGCGGGCCAAGGGAGUGGCCAGGGGAGUGGCCAGGGGAGUGGCCAGGGCAUCAGGACAAGCCUGGAGGUGUUGGGACAGCUGGCAGAACAGCACAGACAGCCUGGUCCCCCAUCUUAACUCUGAGAUGUUGGAGAGGACAUUGAAGGUCCCAGGGUUCCUGUGCUCUGCUACUCAUCCCUUAUCAAGCUCUUUAUGGAUGGCCAGACGUCUUUCCCUGUGACCGAGCACCCAACUGAUGAGAUGGACCCCUCCCAGAUUCUGACCCGGGCCCAGUAGGUGCUUCUGAAGACUCUCUGACAUCCCCAACCUCACUGUCUCAACAUCAGCUGAACCAGGUAACACAUUAGUGCACUGACCACCCAGCGCAAGGCUGAUCUUAGUUUGUGCAGUGGCGGUUCUAGACCAUUUCAACUGGGGGGGCCAAGCUGGGGC
This 1380-nucleotide long non-coding RNA is filed under the name Salmo trutta (river trout). Its description in RNAcentral is "lncRNA (ENSSTUG00000015942.1)". Lineage: Eukaryota; Metazoa; Chordata; Actinopteri; Salmoniformes; Salmonidae. The record is from RNAcentral.